This 252-nucleotide ribosomal RNA is filed under the name uncultured bacterium. Its description in RNAcentral is "partial 16S ribosomal RNA". It matches the Rfam family "Bacterial small subunit ribosomal RNA", at positions 524 to 776 of the family's 1533-position model. The record is from RNAcentral.
UACGUAGGUGGCAAGCGUUAUCCGGAUUUAUUGGGCGUAAAGCGUGCGCAGGCGGCUUGUUAAGUCUAAGAUUAAAGCCCGGAGCUCAACUCCGGUUCGUUUUAGAUACUGGCAGGCUUGAGUAUGGUAGAGGCAAAUGGAAUUCCUAGUGUAGCGGUGGAAUGCGUAGAUAUUAGGAGGAACACCAGUGGCGAAGGCGGUUUGCUGGGCCAUCACUGACGCUCAUGCACGAAAGCGUGGGGAGCAAAUAGG